UCUCUAAUUUUUUUUUCUCCUUCUUUAAAAGAAUGCUGUUGUAAGCCCUUUCUUAUUUUGAAGACUUUCUUUGGCAUUAAAUUGCAUAAAUGAAAGAAAUUUUUGUUAUUUAUAAAAAAAAGUCCAUUUUAGUAACUUCCUCCAACUGACAUUGGCUGUUUGUAUUUCUUUGUAUUUCUACUGUGCAUUUUAAAUACUGUGUGAAUAUUUAAAUACCUAUUGACCCUUUAGAUAACUUGA
Molecule: long non-coding RNA, 240 nt
Filed under: Bos taurus (domestic cattle)
Lineage: Eukaryota; Metazoa; Chordata; Mammalia; Artiodactyla; Bovidae
Description: long non-coding RNA NONBTAT000297
Source: RNAcentral